Amphiprion ocellaris (clown anemonefish) is the source of this 539-nucleotide long non-coding RNA. NCBI's taxonomy places the organism in Eukaryota, Metazoa, Chordata, Actinopteri, Pomacentridae. The record is from Ensembl.
UGUAUUUGUUUGUUUCAGAUGCUGAGAGAUCAAGUGGUGGACGUCCAGAGAGGAGAGGUGAGUUAGAAACAUGCACAUUGUCACACAUUGCUGCUUUAUUCAUGUGUUUGUUUAUUUCAGAUGCUGAGAGAUCAAGUGGUGGACGUCCAGAGAGGAGAGGUGAGUUAGAAACAUGCACAGUGUCACGUAGGUGAUGAGUGUUUUGUGUGUCUCUUUAUUGCGGUGACUUGUUUUGAUCACUUGUAUGUUUGAUUGAUUGCUUUGUGACACAUUGAAGACAUUGGACUUUGAUCAUUUACUCAUAUGUGUCUUUUAUUUGUUUCAGGAGGUUCACAGAGAUUAGUUGCAACAAGAAAACGCUAUGCAUGGUGUCAGAGAUUUGCCGUAGAAGCAGAGCUUCUUCUUCUUCUUCUUCUUCUUCUUCUUCUUCUUCUUCUUCUUCUUCUUCUUCUUCUUCUUCUUCUUCUUCUUCUUCUUCUUCUUCUUCUUCUUCUUCUUCUUCUUCUUCUUCUUCUUCUUCUUCUUCUUCUUCUUCUUCU